AUCAGGCAAGACCACCCGCUGAGUUUAAGCAUAUCACUAAGCGGAGGAAAAGAAACUAACAAGGA
Molecule: ribosomal RNA, 65 nt
Filed under: Gaolejeunea gaoi
Lineage: Eukaryota; Viridiplantae; Streptophyta; Jungermanniopsida; Porellales; Lejeuneaceae
Description: Cheilolejeunea gaoi partial 26S large subunit ribosomal RNA
Rfam family: Eukaryotic large subunit ribosomal RNA
Source: RNAcentral